CAGCCGAUACCGAUGACGUGCUGAUAAUAUCGUGCAUCCCUACUAGAGAGGGAAAGAAAUGACAAGUGAUGAAGUGAAUGAAUGUGAAGUGAAGUGAUGGGAUGAAGAGUCUCCAGCCUGGAGGGAGGAGAGACAUGUGGUCUGUGUCCUGCAGUGUCCUUCCUUUAAUGAUAAAAUAUAACAUCUUACUCAGUUUGAAUAGAUUAAAGACAAAGAAAUGACGAUUGAUAGGUGGAUGAAUGUGACUGAUAUAAAAUCUAUAAUACAUAAUCUAUACAUUACAGUGUUGUGACUCUAAUCCCGUCUGUGGAAAUGUUAUUAAACUAUGUUUGUGUGUUCUCAGUUUGCAGAGUCAUCAUCACAAACAGCCAUUUUCUAAAUGAAGCUUGAAAUCUCAUAUCAUGGAUAUGAAGAGUUUAAUCCACUUGAUGAACUUCACAGUGACUGAGAUUAUUCUGUGGUGCAGCUUCCAGCAGAUAAUCCAACAUUAGUUUAGUUUAACUGCAUGUUUUUAUUUUCUGUUUAAUAUUAUUUGUUUUAUCUGACUUCUGCUAAACCAUCAGCUCAUGAUGAUGUAAAUAAAUUGUAGUUUUGAACAUUAUUUCAUGUUAUGUAGAGUUGUAAUGUGCGUCUGUGCCUUCAGAUAGAUCGAUUGAGUUAUUUAUUGAUCCCAAAGACAGAUUCAAGUGUUACAGCAGCUACUUCACAUCAUAAAAACUAACCAGUUCAGUGAGAAACAAAUACAAAUACUGUAUCUCCUGAAUAUAAGAUGAUAUUUUAUUCUAAAGUCACAUUUAUUAAAGUGGAGUCGUCUUAUAUGUGAGGAUGAGACAGUUACAUGUUCACACGUGCACGGCUGGUGAGUUUCUUCCAGUGUGUUAUGCACCGGCUGGAUGGAUGAGUUAUCUUUUUGUUUCUCCCAGUGUUCCUUGUCUUGUACUUCCUGUUUUAUUUUGAUACUCACCUCUUGUCUCGUUCCAGGUCCUUCACUUCCUGCCCUCGUGUGUCUCCCUCCCGUGUGAUUACCUGCCCUGUGUCUCGUCGUGUAUAUAGUCUCAGUGUUCCCUUCCUUCAGCGUUCAGGCCUUUUUCCCCACUGCUCUUCCUCCUCCAGCAACCGCUGAGAUUCCUGCGGUGACAGCAGAAAGCUGAUCAACAUUAUGGGAUGUCGGUUUAUUCUUGUGUAGAACAUCCUCCAUCUUGACGCCAGGAUGCCGAAGGCGUUUUCAACAGCCAUCCUUCCCAGACUGUGUCCAGGAUUCGGCCUCAUCACAUACGACCUCGUGCUGAGCAGCACCUGGCGGAGGAGGAGGAGGAGGAGGAGGAGGAGGAGGUACGCUGAGAGUCCCAUCUGCUGCAGGCUGCAUAUACUCCUCCAUCACUGGUCCUCCCAACGUCUCCAGCUUGUACGACUCUGAACUGCUGGUCAGCAUCAACAACGGCCAGAACAAGCGAAAAAGUUGCUUUACCAUUUGAGAAGUUCAACUUCUGACAGAGUUUUUGGGGAAAUGUUCCUCCACAGAUCUUCUGUUGGGACGGAGAUGAACGUUGACAUCAUGAUCUUCAUGUUCACAGUCAGCAACAGUCUAAUGUAGUAACUGAAGGCAAGACUGAUAAAAGAUUCUCAUGUUGCCAUGUACCUGAAACCAAAUGAAGAAAGCAUUAAUAAAAACACAUGUUCACCUAUUUAUAGUAGAUGACUGCAAGACUCUGAGGAACAUAUUUCUGCAGCAAGAAAAAAAGACAAGAAGAGGUCAAGAGCAGAAAGGGAGAACAUCCUGGUGAUGACUUUACUACAUCAUCUCUAACCAAGAAGUUCAGAAAGCAGCUUGAGACCUGCCAGCCUGGAGGGUUUAUAGGAGACCCUGUAGACCUGAGCUCUGCAGUUUUUGAUGAUGAUCCUGGAGGGAACAAACAGCACGGAAAUCUCUUCAGGACCCUGCUGCUCCCAGUGGAGGACCCCCCCCCCCCCCCACUGGAAACAGGCCAGAGAGAAGAAGCUGUCCUGCAGAAUGUAUUGUAAAUGUAUUAUUUUGUCCUCAGUCUGGUACUGAUCCUCUCCAGGCUGGACUGUCGGGGUCAGACAGAGGUCAAGAUGGGUCCAGCAGCCUCCGACAUACUUCUUAAUAAUUCUUUAUUUGUAAAUAGUUAAUGUAUUUAGUGUGAUGUCAUUACUGUUAUUUUAGAUGUCUGUUUUAUAAGA
Long non-coding RNA from Thunnus maccoyii (southern bluefin tuna), 2202 nucleotides. RefSeq lists it as uncharacterized. Lineage: Eukaryota; Metazoa; Chordata; Actinopteri; Scombriformes; Scombridae. The record is from RefSeq and is a predicted model, not a curated record. The transcript has 3 exons.